This 490-nucleotide ribosomal RNA is filed under the name uncultured bacterium. Its description in RNAcentral is "partial 16S ribosomal RNA". It matches the Rfam family "Bacterial small subunit ribosomal RNA", at positions 30 to 507 of the family's 1533-position model. The record is from RNAcentral.
AUUGAACGCUGGCGGCAUGCUUUACACAUGCAAGUCGGACGGCAGCACAGAGAAGCUUGCUUCUUGGGUGGCGAGUGGCGAACGGGUGAGUAACAUAUCGGAACGUACCGAGCAGUGGGGGAUAACUAAUCGAAAGAUUAGCUAAUACCGCAUAUCUUCUGAUGAAGAAAGCAGGGGACCAUUUGUCCUUGCGCUGUUUGAGCGGCCGAUAUCUGUUUCGCUAGUUGGUGGGGUAAAGGGCUACCAAGGCGCCGAUCAGUAGCGGGUCUGAGAGGAGGAUACGCCACACUGGGAGGUGAACACGGCCAAUGCGCCUGCGGGAGGGAGCAGUGGGGAACUUGGGACAAUGGGCGCAAGCCUUAUCCAGCCAGGCCGAGUGUCUGAAGAAGGCCUUGCGGGUGUAAAGGACUUUUGUCAGGUAAGAAAAGGGCGGGGUUGAUACCCCUGUCGGAUGACGGUACCUGAAGAAUAAGCACCGGCUAACUACGUG